Paramuricea clavata is the source of this 399-nucleotide non-coding RNA. Lineage: Eukaryota; Metazoa; Cnidaria; Anthozoa; Malacalcyonacea; Plexauridae. The record is from the annotation of a GenBank genome assembly.
GCCCCACUGCUCCCGUAGUUCCGGAACCCCGUGCAGUGCAGGCUUAACCCAUUAACUUUUUCUCAAAAAAAUUUUGGCCACCCGUUUGGUCCUGUGGUCCCCCUUUGGCCACGUCGUCUCCCGUUUGGCCACGUGCUUCUCCCCCACUCCUUUAGGUUCGGAGUCGUUUUCAAGAAUUAAGUAAAUAUUCCAAAAUUGUUAUUUGUUAUGUUAUUGUUAUGCAAAAGAAACGAAUGUUUAAUCAAUGUCUGUAAAUUGGAUAAAGAUUUGUCCUGAUUUACAUAAACUUCGCCAGUGAACUCAUAAGAUGGGUCGUUUUUUAACUUUAUCUGAUAUUCAAACUGUCGCCUUCGGCUCGAGUUUAAUUCGUAUAUCAGAUAAAGAUAGACUGCUCAUGUU